UCCGGAGGCUGAGGCAAGAGGAUCGCUUGAGCCCAGGAGUUUAAGGUUGCUGUGAGCUAUGUUGCCAGGUACUCUAGCGUGGGCGACAGUGAGACUCCUAAGAGAGGUCAAGCAGGAGAGUCAGCCGGACUGCCGAAGAGGGUGGAAUUCCUUCCGGAAGUGACGCACGGGAAGUUACGCCAUGAAGGCGGCACCUGGAGGUGGAGGGCGUCGUAAUGGGCGGGGCGCAGCGCUGGGCUUUCGCUAGGCGACUUGGAUCCCCAGCAGUUUUCCAGAAUGCUGCUGCCUAUGGACUCUGAAAUGGACUUCAUUUAAAGAACCCCUUGGAUCAUUCAUGUACAAAGACAUGAAUCAUGUAUUGUGGCAUUCAAAUCCUAGCACUCUGGGAGAGCAUCAAGUACCAAGUUUUUGAAGACCUUGGCCUACCAUCAGUAUGCAUUCAAGAUUUGAGUUUGAAUAACCUCAUCAAGACUUAGAUCUUCUUCAAAAGCUUCAAGUCUCAUCUGCAUUAGUGCUCUCCAUUCAACUCCUUCACAAAAGUGAAAGCUUAAAA
Nycticebus coucang (slow loris) is the source of this 553-nucleotide long non-coding RNA. RefSeq lists it as uncharacterized. The record is from RefSeq and is a predicted model, not a curated record. The transcript is spliced from 3 exons. NCBI's taxonomy places the organism in Eukaryota, Metazoa, Chordata, Mammalia, Primates, Lorisidae.